UGGGGAAUAUUGGACAAUGGGGGGAACCCUGAUCCAGCCAUGCCGCGUGUGUGAACAAGGUCUUCGGAUUGUAAAGCACUUUAAGUUGGGAGGAAGGGCAGUAAGCGAAUACCUUGCUGUUUUGACGUUACCGACAGAAUAAGCACCGGCUAACUCUGUGCCAGCAGCCGCGGUAAUACAGAGGGUGCAAGCGUUAAUCGGAAUUACUGGGCGUAAAGCGCGCGUAGGUGGUUCGUUAAGUUGAAUGUGAAAGCCCCGGGCUCAACCUGGGAACUGCAUCCAAAACUGGCGAGCUAGAGUAGGGCAGAGGGUGGUGGAAUUUCCUGUGUAGCGGUGAAAUGCGUAGAUAUAGGAAGGAACACCAGUGGCGAAGGCGACCACCUGGGCUCAUACUGACACUGAGGUGCGAAAGCGUGGGGAGCAAACAGG
Molecule: ribosomal RNA, 429 nt
Filed under: Pseudomonadota bacterium
Lineage: Bacteria; Pseudomonadati; Pseudomonadota
Description: Proteobacteria bacterium partial 16S ribosomal RNA
Rfam family: Bacterial small subunit ribosomal RNA
Source: RNAcentral